This 497-nucleotide ribosomal RNA is filed under the name uncultured bacterium. RNAcentral describes it as "partial 16S ribosomal RNA". It matches the Rfam family "Bacterial small subunit ribosomal RNA", at positions 28 to 507 of the family's 1533-position model. The record is from RNAcentral.
GAUGAACGCUGGCGGCGUACCUAAUACAUGCAAGUCGAGCGAACAGACGAGGAGCUUGCUCCUCUGACGUUAGCGGCGGACGGGUGAGUAACACGUGGAUAACCUACCUAUAAGACUGGGAUAACUUCGGGAAACCGGAGCUAAUACCGGGUAAUAUAUUGAACCGCAUGGUUCAAUAGUGAAAGACGGUUUUGCUGUCACUUAUAGAUGGAUCCGCGCCGCAUUAGCUAGUUGGUAAGGUAACGGCUUACCAAGGCAACGAUGCGUAGCCGACCUGAGAGGGUGAUCGGCCACACUGGAACUGAGACACGGUCCAGACUCCUACGGGAGGCAGCAGUAGGGAAUCUUCCGCAAAGGGCGAAAGCCUGACGGAGCAACGCCGCGUGAGUGAUGAAGGUCUUCGGAUCGUAAAACUCUGUUAUUAGGGAAGAACAAAUGUGUAAGUAACUAUGCACGUCUUGACGGUACCUAAUCAGAAAGCCACGGCUAACUACGUG